Long non-coding RNA from Pezoporus flaviventris, 2239 nucleotides. RefSeq lists it as uncharacterized. Lineage: Eukaryota; Metazoa; Chordata; Aves; Psittaciformes; Psittacidae. The record is from RefSeq and is a predicted model, not a curated record. The transcript is spliced from 4 exons.
CGUUCGGGCCGCGGGCCCGGGCAGCCUCAGCCCCAGAGCCCGAAUGCGGGGCUCUCACCCAGCCUCCACCCAACUCAGCCCAAGGUGCUGAUGCACCAGGACUGACUCUCUUUGGUCCUCCUCAGCCCCCUCCAAAUCUGUUCCAGCCAUCUACCCUUCCCAUAGAGGUACCACGAAAACAGAGGGAUGAUUCCUUCCCUCGGGAGGAAAAAUUGCCCUCAUCAGCUCUGUUACGGCUGCCUAACCCCGCGGGUGACACUGGUGCCUGACAGGCAUCACGUAGGACACAAGUCCAUAGGAACGCCACGGGCCUGCUCAUUCAGGUGUUUGUAGGGCCGUGCUACACAGACACAGUACUUCUGUGGGGAAAAGAUGCCCAAUUCACACAGAAGAGAGGAUUUUAACUUCUCCCACACAAAGUUAUAAUUAAUACGCUGCCAUCAAGAGUGAUUAUUUUCAUCUCUUUUUUAAAAAAUCUCACGUUGACUUCUCCUUUCUUCCAAAGAAAGUUUAGAAGUUGUGGGGAAGGUGCAAUGUUUGCUUGCUUUAACUUUGUGUGUCAUAAUCGGGGGUGUGCCCAGUGUUACCUGGGAACCUCAUGGGAACCCUCAAACCAGCAACAUAACACCCUCCAGCUCUGCGCAAUGAAACUGUCUCCCACUCUGACAGACAACUAUUUCCUGUUGUCUGGAACACCAAAAUGGAAUUUCAAUCCCAUACACUCAAAUAAAGUUUAUGCCACAGGGGAUAAAAAAGCAGGGUGAAUUACACAGACAUUUUCAAAAGGCUGUGAGAUGACACUGCUCACACGUAUCUGCUCUUCUCACCAUGCGCAGAUGGUUAAUGUGGAUGCUGAAGGAGAUUUAACUCCUUACCUAACCACUGCUGUCUUCCCAUGCCCCAUUCUGCCAGCCAAAUGAAUAGGCCGAUUUUCAUCCCUACCCACCUUUAAUAAUAUUGAUUACUGUUAUUCUGCUCCUCAGUGGCUGACUGAAUAUUCUCCCUGUGUCCAGCUGCUUUCAACAGGACUGAUGUGACUUCCGAGUCAAACAGAGAGACACAGCAAAGUCCUGACCCCACUGAAGUGGAAGUGAACAGUACUUGGAACCAGUGGAACAAGGAUUUCUCUCCCUGAAAUAGUUUGUGAGAUCUGGCAGCAACGUUUCCCAUCAGAUAGCAACUAUGAGAUCUUUGAUACUUUAUAUAACUGCCAUCCUUAAAUAAAACAUAUAUCUAGUUCAUCAUUUUUUCCCUGAUUUAAUUAGAAUCUUACUUAGUUUUUUCAGGUUGGUGAAGUCUUAUCUCGCAAUCUGUUGCAGAUGCCACUGUGUGGAGAUUAACGUUUGCUUUUUAAUUAAAGUUUUACUUGGGAAGUUUGUGAUACCCCCACACCAGCAUUUAAGACCAAGAAAAUAACUGUAUAUUGUUCUUAAAAUGAGCAGCCAUUGCAUAAUAUGAAACACUCAUAUUCAAAGUAUCACCAAAAAUUACUGUGUGGUUUUAAUUUCUCUGUGAGAUUUUGGGCUUGUUUUUAAAGAUCCUCCAUCAGAACUUUGCAUUUUCCAAGACAACAGUUUUAUAUUUCUUAACUUUAGACGGUUGAGGAGUCAGCAUGUUCUUUUGCACGGGUUCCCAACCAACAUUAGAAAGCAGUGUUCAGCUGAGCACUUACACGCUAAGCAGCUGGUUGCCACCAGAGCACGAUUUCUGCAGGCGGUGCAGGGAUGGGAAGGAAACAGCCACAGCUCAAGAAGGUGGUGAAGAAAAAUUGGGAGGUUAAGCAGGGCCAUAGGAACAGCAGCACUGUGGAAAGGUUCCAGGAAACUGCCACAGGAGUCUGGGGCAAAGAUGGAGGAGUUCCAGCAGUGCUGGGGCAGUACCUACAUCUGGGAAAGAGCAUAACCUGUGCGCCAGAUGUGCUAUGUAAAAACUUCUGCCUGCCCUUCAGCCCCAGCGUGUGUGCCUCACGGGGUCUAACCCAUCUCCACCCCAAAUGAGGAACAUAUGGAGCACCAUGAAUGGCAGAAACAAGACUUCACUUUGAACUACAUUUCUCCUAUCAAAGGGCCCUCUGUCUUGCCUUCUUCUUCUCUGGUCCCCUGGGUAAUCAUGAGGAAAGAACUGAACAUUUGGAAAAGCCUCCUGGGGAUGAAUUCAUUUCUAGUGUAACUCUGCUGAAGUUAAUGGUGUUGCACCAUAGAUUAAAAUGGCACCAUAAUAUUAAAAACCAGAGAAGGCA